Molecule: unclassified non-coding RNA, 185 nt
Filed under: uncultured Basidiomycota
Lineage: Eukaryota; Fungi; Basidiomycota
Description: sequence contains ITS2
Source: RNAcentral
UAUAUCAUCAAAAUCAUGUCUAUGUGAUGUGACUUUGGACUUUGGGAGCUGCUGACUUCUAGUUGAAGCCAGCUCUUCUUAAUUACAUUAACAGAUUCUUUGUUGACCAUGAUCAGUGUGAUAGAUAUCUCACUAUGUCUAUGGGAAUGCACAUAUUCUGUUUCUAAUGCAAAUGCAAGUUUUCA